GGAGUGGACGCAUCACUGGUGUUCGGGUUGUCAUGCCAAUGGCACUGCCCGGUAGCUAAAUGCGGAAGAGAUAAGUGCUGAAAGCAUCUAAGCACGAAACUUGCCCCGAGAUGAGUUCUCCCUGAGACUUUAAGUCUCCUGAAGGAACGUUGAAGACGACGACGUUGAUAGGUCGGGUGUGUAAGCGCAGCGAUGCGUUGAGCUAACCGAUACUAAUGAACCGUGAGGCUUAACCUU
Molecule: ribosomal RNA, 237 nt
Filed under: Enterobacter hormaechei
Lineage: Bacteria; Pseudomonadati; Pseudomonadota; Gammaproteobacteria; Enterobacterales; Enterobacteriaceae
Description: partial 23S ribosomal RNA
Rfam family: Bacterial large subunit ribosomal RNA
Source: RNAcentral